AAAGAAAAUAGUUCAGCACUAAGUCACUUUGUCUUUAUGGCAAAUGUGAGAUGCAGUGUAUGGAACAUCAAUAUUCUAGUAUGAGAAAUUAAUGAUUUAAGUCCUUCUUAAAUGAGGCCAUUUACCCAUAGAGGGUGCCAGGCCCGUAUAACAUUAAUGAUUACUAGAUGGUGUUUCCAAAGAGUCGUGUUGCUUGAUAGUGCAGCACUAAGUGGGUGGUAAACUCCAUCUAAAACUAAAUAUAACCAUGAGACCGAUAGUAAACAAGUACCGUGAGGGAAAGUUGAAAAGAACUCUGAAUAGAGAGUUAAAUAGUACGUGAAACUGCUUAGAGGUUAAGCCCGAUGAACCUGAAUAUCCGUUGUGGAAAAUUCAUCAUUAGAAUUGUAAUAUUUAAAUAAUAUUAUAAUAAUAGUGUGCAUUUUUUCCAUAUAAGGACAUUGUAAUCUAUUAAUAUAAAGCAAAUUUAUCAUAAAACGUGGCUUAUAGUUUAUUCAAAUUAUUUUGCUUGCAAUUUAACAUAGAAUAAAUGUCAUUUAUUUGAUAAAGUGUUGAUAGAUUUAUAUGAAUACAGUGCGUUAAUUUUUUAAAUUAUAUAAUAGCAUGAUAAUCAUUGAUUUCUGUGUUUAUUAUAUGCACUUGUAUGAUUAA
RNAcentral lists this ribosomal RNA (651 nucleotides) under Drosophila sturtevanti. RNAcentral describes it as "eukaryotic LSU rRNA". It matches the Rfam family "Eukaryotic large subunit ribosomal RNA", at positions 97 to 633 of the family's 3401-position model. The record is from RNAcentral. Lineage: Eukaryota; Metazoa; Arthropoda; Insecta; Diptera; Drosophilidae.